This 354-nucleotide ribosomal RNA is filed under the name uncultured bacterium. RNAcentral's name for it is "bacterial SSU rRNA". It matches the Rfam family "Bacterial small subunit ribosomal RNA", at positions 8 to 353 of the family's 1533-position model. The record is from RNAcentral.
AGAGUUUGAUCAUGGCUCAGGAUGAACGCUGGCGGCGUGCUUAACACAUGCAAGUCGAACGGAGUUAUGUUGAAAGCUUGCUGGAUAUAUAGCUUAGUGGCGGACGGGUGAGUAACACGUGAGCAACCUGCCUUUCAGAGUGGAAUAACGUUUGGAAACGAACGCUAAUACCGCAUAAUGUCAGAGGAUGGCAUCAUUCUUUGACCAAAGAUUUAUCGCUGAAAGAUGGGCUCGCGGCCGAUUAGGUAGUUGGUGAGAUAAUAGCCCACCAAGCCGACGAUCGGUAGCCGGACUGAGAGGUUGAACGGCCACAUUGGGACUGAGACACGGCCCAGACUCCUACGGGAGGCAGCA